This 766-nucleotide ribosomal RNA is filed under the name uncultured beta proteobacterium. RNAcentral describes it as "bacterial SSU rRNA". It matches the Rfam family "Bacterial small subunit ribosomal RNA", at positions 109 to 872 of the family's 1533-position model. Lineage: Bacteria; Pseudomonadati; Pseudomonadota; Betaproteobacteria. The record is from RNAcentral.
AGUAAUAUAUCGGAACGUGCCCAGUCGUGGGGGAUAACGCAGCGAAAGCUGUGCUAAUACCGCAUACGAUCUCUGGAUGAAAGCGGGGGACCGCAAGGCCUCGCGCGAUUGGAGCGGCCGAUAUCAGAUUAGCUAGUUGGUGAGGUAAAGGCUCACCAAGGCGACGAUCUGUAGCUGGUCUGAGAGGACGACCAGCCACACUGGAACUGAGACACGGUCCAGACUCCUACGGGAGGCAGCAGUGGGGAAUUUUGGACAAUGGGCGCAAGCCUGAUCCAGCCAUUCCGCGUGCAGGAUGAAGGCCUUCGGGUUGUAAACUGCUUUUGUACGGAACGAAACGGCCUGCUCUAAUAAAGUGGGCUAAUGACGGUACCGUAAGAAUAAGCACCGGCUAACUACGUGCCAGCAGCCGCGGUAAUACGUAGGGUGCAAGCGUUAAUCGGAAUUACUGGGCGUAAAGCGUGCGCAGGCGGUUAUAUAAGACAGAUGUGAAAUCCCCGGGCUCAACCUGGGAACUGCAUUUGUGACUGUAUAGCUAGAGUACGGCAGAGGGGGAUGGAAUUCCGCGUGUAGCAGUGAAAUGCGUAGAUAUGCGGAGGAACACCGAUGGCGAAGGCAAUCCCCUGGGCCUGUACUGACGCUCAUGCACGAAAGCGUGGGGAGCAAACAGGAUUAGAUACCCUGGUAGUCCACGCCCUAAACGAUGUCAACUGGUUGUUGGGUCUUCACUGACUCAGUAACGAAGCUAACGCGUGAAGUUGACCGC